This 76-nucleotide transfer RNA is filed under the name Bacillota bacterium. RNAcentral describes it as "Firmicutes bacterium (anaerobic digester metagenome) tRNA-Arg". It matches the Rfam family "tRNA". Rfam says of the family: Transfer RNA (tRNA) molecules are approximately 80 nucleotides in length. Lineage: Bacteria; Bacillati; Bacillota. The record is from RNAcentral.
GGCCCCGUAGCUCAGAGGAUAGAGCAGCGGUUUCCUAAACCGUGUGUCGGACGUUCGACUCGUCUCGGGGCCGCCA